UACGAAGGGGGUUAGCGUUGCUCGGAAUUACUGGGCGUAAAGGGAGCGUAGGCGGACAUUUAAGUCAGGGGUGAAAUCCCAGAGCUCAACUCUGGAACUGCCUUUGAUACUGGAUGUCUUGAGUGUGAGAGAGGUAUGUGGAACUCCGAGUGUAGAGGUGAAAUUCGUAGAUAUUCGGAAGAACACCAGUGGCGAAGGCGACAUACUGGCUCAUUACUGACGCUGAGGCUCGAAAGCGUGGGGAGCAAACAGG
This 253-nucleotide ribosomal RNA is filed under the name uncultured bacterium. RNAcentral describes it as "partial 16S ribosomal RNA". It matches the Rfam family "Bacterial small subunit ribosomal RNA", at positions 524 to 776 of the family's 1533-position model. The record is from RNAcentral.